GUAUAAGUUUACCGACGCUUUUUUAAGGCGAAGAUAUCGAUUUUACAUUCUAUGAGACAUGCGUCGAUGAAAUGAGACGUAGGGACCCUUUUUACAGGCCCUUACAUUAGGUUCACAAGUGUGUGUGGAUUAAGGGCUCGGGCGUGCACGUGCCCCGAGAGGCCAGCGACAACCCUCGCCUACGAUUCGAUAAUGAUCCUUCCGCAGGUUCACCUACGGAAA
RNAcentral lists this unclassified non-coding RNA (222 nucleotides) under uncultured fungus. RNAcentral's name for it is "sequence contains ITS1". The record is from RNAcentral. Lineage: Eukaryota; Fungi.